Molecule: non-coding RNA, 79 nt
Organism: Paramuricea clavata
Lineage: Eukaryota; Metazoa; Cnidaria; Anthozoa; Malacalcyonacea; Plexauridae
Source: the annotation of a GenBank genome assembly
GCCUCUGUACAAAAGCUCAGUUGGUUAGACGGCUGCACCGGAAUUGCAGGGUCGCAUUUUCGAAUCCUGCCAGAAGGCC